UUUUUUUUUUUUUUUUUUUUUUUUUUUUUUGUAUACAAGCAGGCAGUGAACGAUGUUUGGCCUUCAGCUGAGUUUGGUCACCCCUAGUCUAGAACCAGCUCUGUAUGGUUUUGGUUUUGGUUUUUUGUUUUUAAAAAACAGUCUCUAAAAAAGAAUCCAUAUAACUGGUUUGAGUUUAGUUGUGAGGUUCUGUAUAGUUUUCUUCUCACAGAUAGAUUAAAUUUAAUUUAGAUUAAACUUAAAUUAUUCAAGUUCAGUGUUUAAAUAUAAUUAACUAAAUCAAGGCCUUUAUUUUUAGUUAUUAUUAUUUUUGGCCAUGUGUGCAGCGGCUUAAUGUGGGAUCUUAGUUCCUAGAACAAGGAUUGAACCUAGGCCAUAGUGGUAGAAGUUCUGAGUCUUAACCACUAGACCAUCAGGGAACUCCCUAAGGCCUUUAUUUAAUAAACAAGUCUCUCAUCAGUUGUUUGUGAAUGUUGUUUCUGCAAAUUAAGAUUAUUUCUCUGUCUUUUCCUCUCCAUAUGUAUUAUAUGUAUACAUAUAUGCGUGUCUAUAUAUACACAUAAUAUAACGUGUGUACACAACUAUCUCACUUUUGAGGACCACUAAUGCUAUGAACAUCAUGAAAGACCAAUAUUUAAGAUAAUGGCUAUUAUCCAUUGAACACUUACUAUGUGUCAGGCCCUUUUCUAGGCCCUUUGCUAUUUAUUUUAAUUAGUCCUUCCCCCAAAUGUAUGACAUUGGCAUUAUUAUCAUUAUCAUCAUCUUCAUUUUUGGCCUGUGAAGACCAAGACCUAGAAUGACUCACCCAAGGUGAUGUAGCUAAGAGAAAGCAUUGUCUAUAAUUUGUUCUCAAGAAUUCUGACUCUAGUCAGCUUUCCUAAUGAUAAAUUAUGCCUUGCUAGGUACUGAAAUAUAUGCGUGAAAGUAGUUCAACUGCAUUUUUGAAUUGUAAUGGAAGAAAAUGGAAGCAGUGAAUAAAGAUUAAAAAAUUAUUUUUCUAGGAAACAAGCAUGUGAUAUAGCAAAAGGAAACAUUUAGGAAGCAAGUAUUCUAAUAGUUUUCACUAAUUAAAUUUUAAUUUGUUUUUGUCCACGAGCAUAGGUAGCCAACUCAGACUCUAGGAUAAACUGCUGAGAUCUUCCUCUUUCCUGAACUAACUAAAUUAUCACUGAGAAUCAGGGCAGGGCAAUAGAUUAUACAAUCUGUUUACAGUUUACAAUGGAUUGUAGUAUCUGUGGCCCUGCCCUGUUGUAACAGCUACACCUGGUUACAAAAGAAUGGUGGAUCCUAUCUGGCUCAAAAAUCAUAAUACAGAUAUUUUAUAUGUGCAUAUAGAGUUUAUAAAAGACUCUCUGGCUUGUGAUAUACUGUGUGGAAGCACUUCAUUACCUGGAAAUCAUAUUCCAGUGGGAUCGUUGUUAGUCAUUCUAGCGGACCAGUGCACUAGAGGUACAGUCUUAGCCCCUUAAGUUGGAUCAGUAGAAAAGGUUAGACCUCAAGUGAACACAACCUGUGAGAGAUUCCUAGUGGAUGAGUUAACAUUUCCCUCAUUUACUUUUGGACCAAUUUUAUGUUGAACCAGGACUACAAAAUCCAUUCUUGUCUUGGGGAAUUUCUGAGACGUAAGGAGGGACACAUUUUGUUCUCCCAUUUAAGUGCUGGCCUUAGACAGAGAGAAGGAGAAAUUUUGAAAAUCAGAUAUUUACCUUGACACUGACUCACUCAUUUAAUCUUAUGGGCAAAGGCCAGGAAUUCCAAAGGUACCCAAACUUGUGCCACUCUGCAGCUAGUCUCUGACUAUGGCACUGCACUCAUUUGGCAGCACUUUCCACCAGUUCAUUGUGCAUGCAAAUAACAGAUGAUUUGAGACAAGAAAAGAUCUUUGUACACUUUUAUUGCACAGUGAUUGUUUCCUAAUUAGAUAAUAAUUCUCCUGUAAGUUUUUUUGUAGUUGAGCUUAUUGCUGAAUAAAAAGGGCCAUCAGGUAACAGGGUUUUCCAAAAACAAUACAUUUUUAUUUGCUUUAUGUAUAAUUUAUAAUUAAGUGGGCCAUAAAGUCCUACAUCUGGUUACUUCAGAUGAUGGCAUUUUUGUCCUGUAACAACACAGGAUAUGGCUACUUUUGCUUUCAGUGAGUCAUGAUCUUUUAAGGAACUAGAUAUGUUCCAAAAGGGAGUGUCUUUUUGUUUUGGGUCUCUUCACCCUCUCUCCCUCUCUUCACCCUCCAUGAAUCUGGGCCACUUUGGGUAAACACUUGCCCAUUUGUUCAUGAUUUCUGCAAUUAUGGCUUCAUGACCGAGAAUGGAAGCAACCGCCAGCCAAAGAGAAAAAAAUACAUGUUUCUUUCUCUCAAGAUUGCAAUACUUUAAUUUGACUUUAGGGUUAUCUGAGAAAGUUAACCAUGGCAGACAGUAGCACUUGUGUGCUCUUGUUGGUUCAUGUAUGCUCUGUGGAAGAAAGGCCGUGAAUGGAGAUGGCAAGGCACCAUCCGGAUUGUGGUGAGCUUGAAUGCUUACACCUUAUCUAAAGGGUACGACUGUCACUUGCCUAGCCCAGUGUUACCAUGUGGAAAUGUGGGCUCAGUAUUGCCAAGUGUUUUGAUCUUAAACAAGAAAAUAGAAAUCUGAAUUUUCUGUUAAUCUCCUCAUUUUUUAUAUAUUUGCUCUGAAAUUUAAUCACACUCAAUGAGCCACAGAGGACAUGUGUCCAGGCAGAAUUUGGCCCACGGUAACAUUUUGUCCCUUUGGCAGCCAGGAGGGGCUCUCAAUGUGGUGAAGAAGAAGUUGCAAGAGUCCUGAGAUGGGUGCUCCAGGAGCAUGGGGGUCAUAGGACGCAAGACCUGGCGUGGGUUUCACCCUCUUCUCUCUUUUCUGUUUGGCUGAUGAGGUGGUGUAAUGAUUUUUCUGUCCUUGAGAAAAACUUUGUGCUAUCCAGAUUUCCCUCCUGGAGAAGGAGGCGCUGGGGGUGUUGAACCGAGCUGGGGACUCCAGAAGCUGAGUGGGGCUGAGCAGAGGUGGGGCAAGGGUUUGAAGCCAGGGUGGCAUCUGAGAACUGAGACUCAAACACAUCUCAGCAGUAACUGGGUAGGUGGGCAGAACAUGGCACGGAAGCACAAUUGCCAGGGCCCAAGAAUGGAAAGCAGGGCUAGAAGAGGUGGCCAAGAGGUGUCCAGGGUGCUGAAGCCUGAGGGCUUUGCUUAGCUCUGGGUGAGGAGGGGUCGGGUUGAGCCGGCCAACCUGGUCUGGACAGUUGUUGAUGGUUGACUCAAGGAAGUAACCUAGGAUGAAUUUCCUGAAGGACCUGUAUCAUCUUCUUUCAUUUCCACCACUUUGGUGAUAACUAUAAUGUUCAGGAGCAGGAACAUUAUUCCUUUAUUUCUUAUAUGUACAACCGAUGUCAUAUGGCUUCAGCCUUAUGGCUUAGACAAGAUAAGGUCACUCUGCUUGAAAAUGAGGCCCUAGCCUUUGAAAUUCCUGGUCAUAUUCCCUGUCAUUCCCAUGACUGUUAUUCUGGAUGCUCUUGGGUUGAGGAGGCUGACAGUUCUCUUUAUUCUCAGAACUGAUUGAGAUAUGACAGAGGUCUCUUCCAAAGAGUUCAGAAUAUAAAAUUUACUCCUGGUGGAGCUGGAUCAGGAUUGCAGGCUGGGCCUGCAACCACAUGGUCUUCCUCAUACCUUUCCUCUGAGAAUUUUAACUUCUACCCAUCCCAUCUCAGACCAAUCUGGUACACACUUGCCUCCAGGUUGCUUAUCAUAUGGAGGCAGAGGAGAGUUAAUGUCCUGAGGACAAGCUACUGCGAAAGAGGGAAGGGGCAAGCCACGUGAGGGCAGUGAUGUGGAACACUUUAGCCCCAUUCACUAGAGCAGUGUUUCUCAAAGUGUGGUCCUCAGAUAGCCAGCAUUGGUGUUACCUAAAAGUUAUUAGAAAUGCAGACUUGUGGUCUCCAACCUAGUCAAACUGAAUCAGAGACUCUGGGGAGUGGGGCUCAAGAAUCUAUGUUUUAAGUGGCCCUCUUUGUGAUUCUGUUGCAGUUAAAGUUUGAGAAUCAUUGCAGUGGAGGAAGGUGGCUCAGUGGACCCAAGACACUUUCCCUCUCACAAGUGAGAGACAUCAGUUUCCCUUCUUUGCACCAAGUGAGAAAGUACUGUAGAGAAAGAGGCCAGAAGUGCUGCUCUAACAGAAGGUCCUUGUGCAGUUCCCGCUGUGGUGUAGUGAGUUAAGAAUCUGACCUCAGGAGUUCCCGUCGUGGUGCAGCAGAAAUGAAUCCAACUAGGAACCAUGAGGUUGCGGGUUCGACCCCUGGCCUCACUCAGUGGGUUAAGGAUCCUGCGUUGCCAUGAGCUGUGGUGUAGGUUGCAAAUGUGGCUCGGAUCCCGUGUUGUGUUGGCUGUGGUGUAGGCCGGCGGUACAGCUCCAAUUUGACCCCUAGCCUGGGAACCUCUGUGUGCUGCGUGUGCA
RNAcentral lists this long non-coding RNA (4457 nucleotides) under Sus scrofa (pig). RNAcentral describes it as "lncRNA (ENSSSCG00060013264.1)". Lineage: Eukaryota; Metazoa; Chordata; Mammalia; Artiodactyla; Suidae. The record is from RNAcentral.